GCUUCUUUCCUCCCGAGUGCUUGCACUCAAUUGGAAAGAGGAGUGGCGGACGGGUGAGUAACACGUGGGUAACCUACCCAUCAGAGGGGGAUAACACUUGGAAACAGGUGCUAAUACCGCAUAACAGUUUAUGCCGCAUGGCAUAAGAGUGAAAGGCGCUUUCGGGUGUCGCUGAUGGAUGGACCCGCGGUGCAUUAGCUAGUUGGUGAGGUAACGGCUCACCAAGGCCACGAUGCAUAGCCGACCUGAGAGGGUGAUCGGCCACACUGGGACUGAGACACGGCCCAGACUCCUACGGGAGGCAGCAGUAGGGAAUCUUCGGCAAUGGACGAAAGUCUGACCGAGCAACGCCGCGUGAGUGAAGAAGGUUUUCGGAUCGUAAAACUCUGUUGUUAGAGAAGAACAAGGACGUUAGUAACUGAACGUCCCCUGACGGUAUCUAACCAGAAAGCCACGGCUAACUACGUGCCAGCAGC
RNAcentral lists this ribosomal RNA (476 nucleotides) under Enterococcus faecalis. RNAcentral's name for it is "bacterial SSU rRNA". It matches the Rfam family "Bacterial small subunit ribosomal RNA", at positions 68 to 515 of the family's 1533-position model. Lineage: Bacteria; Bacillati; Bacillota; Bacilli; Lactobacillales; Enterococcaceae. The record is from RNAcentral.